UUAAUAAUAAUUCCUCACCCUCUUUCUCUCACACGCACUUUCUCUCUAUGUAUAUACACAAACAUAUGUGUGCAUGUGUGUAGUUAAUUGUUAUGUUAUCGAUCAUAUGAUGAUUAAUGGCUGCUGGCAUAUAGUAUAUAUGUUUAUAUUAUAUAUAUACGAUCGCGAGCUAGAUAGAUAGGCGGGUGUGGUGAGCAAGAUGGAGAAGCAGGGCACGUGUAUUACCAACUCACUCGAUCGAUCAUCAUGCAAAUGUUGAUCGCCGUCGACUACAUGAGGUUCUUGCAAGUUCGAGCUAGCCGUGCAGGAUGAUUGAUCCGAAAGGGUUCGGUAAAUGAGUUGGUGCUUCAUGUGCCCAUCUUCCCCAUCAUGACCACCCAUUACCUUGAUUUUUUGAAGAUGUUAAAACUUAUUCAAUGAUGCAAGUCACAUACUUACAACUAUCAGGUUCUUCAAUAGGGGUGGCUAUGGAAGGGAACAUUAUAUCGUUCUAUAUCUCGAUGUGUAUCUGUUUUUAGAACGGCAUCUCGAUAUGUAUUUAUAUAUGAUCCUUUUUUUUGUAUUGUUAUUGUUAACAGAUCGGAUCAUUUGGAAUACCAUGGACCAUGGUUGAUACUUUGUGAGGUUGAUAUUUAUUUCUCACAUUUAUUUAUUGUUAAUACUUUGUAAAUAUUUUAUUUUUUAUAUAUAUUCUGUUGUAGCAAA
Erigeron canadensis is the source of this 705-nucleotide long non-coding RNA. RefSeq lists it as uncharacterized. The record is from RefSeq and is a predicted model, not a curated record. The transcript has 2 exons. Lineage: Eukaryota; Viridiplantae; Streptophyta; Magnoliopsida; Asterales; Asteraceae.